UACGUAGGGUGCAAGCGUUAAUCGGAAUUACUGGGCGUAAAGCGUGCGCAGGCGGUUUUGUAAGUCUGACGUGAAAUCCCCGGGCUCAACCUGGGAAUUGCGAUGGAGACUGCAAGGCUUGAAUCUGGCAGAGGGGGGUAGAAUUCCACGUGUAGCAGUGAAAUGCGUAGAGAUGUGGAGGAACACCCAUGGCGAAGGCAGCCCCCUGGGUCAAGAUUGACGCUCAUGCACGAAAGCGUGGGGAGCAAACAGG
This 253-nucleotide ribosomal RNA is filed under the name uncultured bacterium. Its description in RNAcentral is "partial 16S ribosomal RNA". It matches the Rfam family "Bacterial small subunit ribosomal RNA", at positions 524 to 776 of the family's 1533-position model. The record is from RNAcentral.